UUGUUAGAUGAGUUUCCCAAACGCAGUUAUUCCUUGCAGCUAAUUUUCUUUUCGCCGUUAUUCACAGUCGCAAAUUUUCCCACUUUUUUAAUUUCCCUGUCUUACUAUUUCUCGCUGGCCGCGGACAUUAAAAUAACACGACAAGACGAAAAAACGGAACAGUGAGAAAACUAUUAGGAAAUAUGGCUACGGGUGAAAAAACAGAAAAAAACACAAAACGAAACAAAAAUAAUUUAUAAAUUAACUGCAGGUUAAAAUUCAGACAAAAAAAUAUCAGAAACAGAAGCAAAGCGACUGUAAAAAUAAGCUGCAGAGGAAAAAUUAACUGCAGGUUAAAAUUCAGACAAAAAAAAAUCGGAAUCAGAAGCAAAGCGACUGUAAAAAUAAGCUGCAGAGAAAAAAAGUGUUUAGGAUAAUCGCUUUCGGGAAAAAAUGCGAAAAGAAAAUUAGCUGCAAGGAAUAACUGCGUUUGGGAAACUCAUCUAACAAAUCUGUGAU
Molecule: long non-coding RNA, 498 nt
Organism: Cydia pomonella (codling moth)
Lineage: Eukaryota; Metazoa; Arthropoda; Insecta; Lepidoptera; Tortricidae
Exons: 3
Source: RefSeq, a predicted model, not a curated record